Molecule: long non-coding RNA, 3918 nt
Organism: Lolium perenne
Lineage: Eukaryota; Viridiplantae; Streptophyta; Magnoliopsida; Poales; Poaceae
Source: RefSeq, a predicted model, not a curated record
CACUACUUAAAAAGAAGGAACUGGUUCCUUAUUCUGCCAAUACGUCACCUCUUCGUCGUCAACUCUUCGUCGUCAAUCCCGCGUGGGCCUAACUGGGCCAAAGCCCAACUACCUCGAGUGGAACGGAAACCUGGCACCCGAAACCCUCGCUCCUCGCCCUGCCGAAUUCUACGCCCCGAGCGCAGCUCCUGCCGCCGAUCACCCUCCGCCGCCUCCCGCUCCCGCGGAGCUUGGAGGACCUCCAGUCCACCGGCCACCUACCUCCCCCAACGACGCCACCACCCCCAUCGUCGUCCUCCCCUCCCCAACACCCCCGCACACCUCGAAGCCCUGAACGUGUCCGCACAUCCUCCAUGCUGUCUUGGAUGGCGUCGCUCCCCGCCUUACAGGCUUGGCCGCAGCCGCCUUCGAGCUCCAUGAGCGGACUGCACUGCAUCGACCCAUGUCGGCCUGGAUGGCGUCGCCCCGGCCCUCACCCUGCGGGCCUGGACGCCGCGGCCGUCGUCCUCGAGCUCCACGCACGGACUGCCCUGCAGCACCACGACGCCGCCACAACAACGCCAUGCUCGCAUACUUCGGUAGUCUGGAUUUAGCCGUUGCGCUCCACGCGCGGAAUUGCCUGCCACUUACGCCCUCUUCCUCUCUAGCAUCGUGCUCUCCUGCUCCUUCCCAUGUUUGCCUCCCUUUCUAAUUUCUACAUGCAUGACUACUUCGCCUCCCUGCAGGCUAAGUGUUUGUGAUAUUGCCAAGAUGUCCGGUGCAUAACACACUGCUUUGACAAGUAUUUACAGGUUAAUAUGUUUGAUAAAUUUGACAAGUACAUGAAAGUUCCUGGUGAAUGAACUCCUGCUGGAACCAAGCCACCCUCGAGGUAAUAUUGUGUUUAUUAUUGCAGCCAAAUUUGCACAAACGUCUUCCAGACUUCAGUUUAUGUAUUGAAUUAUUUCGCCUUUGCAUUCUUCACCAUUUAUCUGCCGCAGUAGCAUAUUUGUUUACACUAUAUAUACUCUGUAUUCAAUCUUUGUUCUUGUGUUUUCUGUUACUGACAUAGUUUUAUGACCAUUCUUUUGCAUGAAUGGAAAUCCUGUUAAUAUGUGCUUUCUAACCCGGCCAUCUUUUUUUGCUUACUCCUUUUAGUAGUUACUGUUGUCUAUCUUCUGUAGUCCAAACAAAAGUCAUUAAAAACUCCUGAAGGGCAACCUGGAAGUAUCCUGACUGGCAUGUGUAAGAACUAAAUGCACAAUUUUGAAUUCUAUGUAGUGGACAAGAAUAUUCUGCAAGUUAAAUUAUUGACAGUAUGAGCCUGGGAUGCUUCAGAAAUGGAUUAGGCAACAACCUAUAUUAGAGGUGGACAAUGCUACUACAGUCUCUCCCUCUAGAUCGAUCCAUUCAUCGGAUUGUGAACUCUUUUCCUGCAUGUGAGGAAAGAUAUUCCUCUCUGGUGGCAACAUUAAGAGUUUAAUUUAUAGCACUACAUCUGCAGUAUAAAUUCCUGUAUGUAGUAAUUUUAACUCAAAGAAACCAUGCAUUUAAUUUUGAACUCAUGAAACUUGAACUACAUUUGGUGUUGUGGUAAAUCAACUUUUGAGUAAAAAAAUGGAAUAAGCUGACCCACUGUGUUUUGUGUGUUUUGGUUUAAACGGAGAAACAUCAACUAUUGUGUGUGUCUGCGGGAUAACUCUAGCGCAAAAUGUCUAGGAGAGAGUAGGAGCAUGAGCUAUGGGCAACUCACGAGCAUUGUAGGAGAGAGCAGGAGCCUGAGCUAUGGGCAACUCAUGUGUUACUGCUUCAGGUAGUUUUUUUGUGUGUUUCUUACUUGGCAACUUGUGAAAAGAAUUUGAGCUGCCAAAUAUUGUGAUCAUUUGAUACGAUUAUACUGAUGCAAGCAUUGUGCAUGUAAGGAUUGUUUCAUUUUGUAAACAAGAUUCAGAUCAUUACCUGUAUGAAUAGAAAUCAGAUAAGAAUUGAAUCACUAGCUGCAAGACAAUCCAAAUGUAUUAUGCCUUGCAAAAGAAGAUGUUCUGUCUUUUCUAUAACCUCAUGUUUGCCCAAAGUAAUUAUCAUACAGAUGCUAGGAUAUUCACACUAACAUAUAGUACACUUUAUUCCAUCAGUUUGCCUCAUUCCCCAAGUUAGAAAAAAAAAUGUUUGCCUCUGUCCAAAAUCCCAUUUUCUCAGAAGUUCUAGCAAAACUAGCUGUGUUACUAAAAUGUUUGGAAGCUUUUGGUACCAAUAAUGUGUAAGACUAACGUUGCUAUUUCUUCUUUUCUUAUCAUGGUGCAACUGGAUUAUGUCGAUCACUGACCAGCGUUGGAAAAGAAAUAUUCUUCCACUUUAUACAAAGGAACUGCAGUUUAACUGUCCACUUCCCAAGACACAAAUCUUUUUUACAUUUGUAAAUAUACGUAGUUUCAGGUAUUGUAUGCAGAGCUCGAGCCGUCCUUUGCGCUGAACCUGAUUUGGAUAGAUACUCAAUUUUUAGGCUCGAUAAGGUCUAUAUGAAUCGCGGGGAUCGUACCUAUAGGUUUAUUGUUUGCUGCUCAUGGCGGAUUCAGUUGAUUCCAGUGUAGGUAAUGCGUGGUUUUACCGAUUGAUAAUGAUCCAGAGAUGCAUAUGUACACUUGAGCAUCCGAUAUUUCUGUAAGUGUGGUCCUUUUUCUUUCUCCAAUACUGUCAAAGAGGAUGGGGGAUACUAUACUGUGCAAUCUAUUUGCGUGCAACAUACUUAUCGGCGGCGUGCAGGAUGCGGACACACCAGAUUCUAGACCAUAGCAUGGCAUUUUAAUUGUCACAGUUUGUUGUCAUGAUUCUCUUUUGCUGAUGAUAUCAAUGUACAAUACUAUUGUGCAUACAUUUCACAUAGAGCCAAUGUACAUAUUAUUUUCUUAUUGAUGUAUUUUUUCUAUGAGGGAGCUAAAUAACUUUUCUUGUAAAUUUUAUCAGACAGGAGCAUUUCUGCAUAGAGAAUCUUAUCAAGUAAUUUAGUCUUGAUGGCUUGUUGCUUUCUGUUGCAGAUUCUUAUAGUGUAUCGGUAGAUUUUUAUGCUUAUACAAAUUUGUUCUUACAGGAUAUGAGUGUGGCUACUUUCUCCGAAAUGUCCUGCGUGCUAUUCCUUGCAAAUGCCAAGAGGUACGCUAAAUUCACAGUCUAAUUUGCAGCUUUAAUGUAUCAAUUUUCUCUUCUUAUGUAUGGUUUAUAUAAGUUGUACACUACCUAGCUACAGCUAUACCCUUUCUGUAUAAUGGGGUGAUUCUUCAAGGUAUGACUUUUCCAGAAUGAACAGAGUUGCUCAUAGACUGGGGCAUUGAAUUUGUUGUCAAAGAUCUUUCCUUGAUUACAGACACUUCAUGGAGUUAUUAGUAACACAAAUAUUUAUCGUAGAAAUUAGAAAGAUAAUGAACCGCUCUGAUAAUUUUAUCGAACCUGGAUUGCAGGCGCUUCAUGGAGUUAUCAUGAUACAACUGUUUACAAUGUUGGGCAUGAUAUGACAGCAACAGCAAUGGGUUCUAGCCUCUGCGUGCUGUAGUGUGUAGACUAAAAUAUAGGAAAGCAAGGUCAGUCAAACAUCUUCAUCAUGGAAUAUGGAAUAUAUGAGAAGGAUUUGUAGGUGAUAACAAAUUAGAUUCUAUUCUAGGUCAAGGGGUUAAGGACCUUUUUGAGGAAGAUACUAUAAUGCUGCUCCAUUUGUAAGUAGAGGCAAUAACUUGUCCAUCCAUUGGAGCAUCAAGCUCGGCAUGCCGCGUCUCAGUUUCAAGCACUUGUUUGUCCGACGGACUUACCGUUUUAUGAAUAUUUUUGUAAGCCGUUUUAUGGUUUUUUAUAAGCCAUUUUAUAAAUCGUAGAAGCUUAUAAAUGUACGGGAGACUGGAAAUUUUGUGUACAUGUUAGUGUUGAUGCACAAUGUUUCUGUUUAGUUUA